Molecule: small nucleolar RNA, 89 nt
Organism: Plectropomus leopardus (leopard coralgrouper)
Lineage: Eukaryota; Metazoa; Chordata; Actinopteri; Perciformes; Serranidae
Product: small nucleolar RNA SNORD60
Source: RefSeq, a predicted model, not a curated record
AGCCAGUGAUGAUAAACUAAAUAACUUUUCUGACACCUCAUAUGAGAGCUGCACACACGGCUCCUGAUUCCAACUCUGAUCUGAGGCUC